Molecule: ribosomal RNA, 441 nt
Filed under: uncultured bacterium
Lineage: Bacteria
Description: partial 16S ribosomal RNA
Rfam family: Bacterial small subunit ribosomal RNA
Source: RNAcentral
CCUACGGGAGGCAGCAGUGGGGGAUAUUGCACAAUGGGGGAAACCCUGAUGUAGCGACGCCGCGUGGGUGAAGAAGUAUUUCGGUAUGUAAAGCCCUAUCAGCAGGGAAGAAAGAAGACGGUACCUGACUAAGAAGCCCCGGCUAACUACGUGCCAGCAGCCGCGGUAAUACGUAGGGGGCGAGCGUUAUCCGGAUGCACUGGGGGUAAAGGGAGCGUAGACGGCCGUGCAAGCCAGGAGUGAAAGCCCGGGGCCCAACCCCGGGACUGCUCUUGGAACUGUGCGGCUGGAGUGCGGGAGGGGCAGGCGGAAUGCCUGGUGUAGCGGUGAAAUGCGUAGAUAUCAGGAGGAACACCGGCGGCGAAGGCGGCCUGCUGGACCGCGACUGACGUUGAGGCUCGAAAGCGUGGGGAGCGAACAGGAUUAGAUACCCCAGUAGUC